Molecule: ribosomal RNA, 376 nt
Filed under: uncultured bacterium
Lineage: Bacteria
Description: partial 16S ribosomal RNA
Rfam family: Bacterial small subunit ribosomal RNA
Source: RNAcentral
CCUACGGGUGACAGCAGUGGGGAAUAUUGCACAAUGGGGGAAACCCUGAUGCAGCAACGCCGCGUGAGUGAGGAAGUAUUUCGGUAUGUAAAGCUCUAUUAGCAGGGAAUAGAACAGAAGGUACCUGAAAAAUAAGCCCCGGCUAACUACGUGCCAGAAGCCGCGGUAAUACGUAGGGGGCAAGCGUUAUCCGGAUUUACUGGGUGUAAAGGGAGCGUAGGCGGAAAGGCAAGUCAGAAGUGAAAACCCAAGGCUCAACCAUGGGACUGCUUUUGAAAUUGUCAAACUAGAGUGCGGGUGAGGUAAGAGGAAUUCCUAGUGUAGCGGUGAAAUGCGUAGAGAUUAGACGGAACACCAGUGGCGAAGGCGGCUUACU